GCAGUCGAACGGCAGCGCGGGGCAACCUGGCGGCGAGUGGCGAACGGGUGAGUAAUAUAUCGGAACGUGCCCAGGAGUGGGGGAUAACGCAGCGAAAGUUGCGCUAAUACCGCAUACGAUCUAAGGAUGAAAGCGGGGGACUCGCAAGAACCUCGCGCUCCUGGAGCGGCCGAUAUCUGAUUAGCUAGUAGGUGUGGUAAUGGCGCACCUAGGCGACGAUCAGUAACUGGUCUGAGAGGAUGACCAGUCACACUGGGACUGAGACACGGCCCAGACUCCUACGGGAGGCAGCAGUGGGGAAUAUUGGACAAUGGGCGAAAGCCUGAUCCAGCAAUGCCGCGUGAGUGAAGAAGGCCUUCGGGUUGUAAAGCUCUUUUACCCGGGAAGAUAAUGACUGUACCGGGAGAAUAAGCCCCGGCUAACUCCGUGCCAGCAGCCGCGGUAAUACGGAGGGGGCUAGCGUUGUUCGGAAUUACUGGGCGUAAAGCGUACGUAGGCGGCUUUUUAAGUCAGAGGUGAAAUCCCGGGGCUCAACUCCGGAACUGCCUUUGAGACUGGAUCGCUUGAACGUCGGAGAGGUGAGUGGAAUUCCGAGUGUAGAGGUGAAAUUCGUAGAUAUUCGGAAGAACACCAGUGGCGAAGGCGGCUCACUGGACGACUGUUGACGCUGAGGUACGAAAGCGUGGGGAGCAAACAGGAUUAGAUACCC
RNAcentral lists this ribosomal RNA (709 nucleotides) under uncultured bacterium. RNAcentral describes it as "bacterial SSU rRNA". It matches the Rfam family "Bacterial small subunit ribosomal RNA", at positions 57 to 787 of the family's 1533-position model. The record is from RNAcentral.